AAAAUAAUUUUAAUUGAAGAAAAGGAAAACAUUAAAGCUGCUUAAUUUCACAUGCUAGUAAAUUUGAUGUUAGUACAUUUAGAUAUUGAAAGCGUUACAUUGUAAUAGCUAUGACAUUAGGGACCAGUUCCAUUUCUUUAACGUCUAUGUUAGACAAAUUUGAUUAUAUUAUGCAACUAGUAUACGUAGUUGGUUAAUUUCCACAUGUACAAAAAUGCACUAGUCUUACUUGUGCAUUGACAUGGGCAUAUGUAAGAAUCUGGCUAAGGAGCCUGUAUUUCUGUGUUCUUUUUCUCUAUUUCAUAUAGUUUAGUGCCUCAUUAUUAUCUUUUCUUUAUUUCCCCUAUAUAUACUCUUAUUAUAUAAAAACAACACCCAGACCCUUAUUAUAAAAAUAAUGUAUCUUUCUGUGCCAAUUCCUUAAUGCCAUAUCCCUACCGCUGUUUUGAUAAAUUUCAUAUUCGAAAAGUUUGCUACAUCUUCCAGUAACAAGAAAAGUUUGAACUAGUAUCACUAUCCCCAAUAUUUGAGGUAUUAACUUUUCACUUGUUUUGGGUCCUGCUUAUAUCAGUUGUAGUUUUGGAGCUACAAUGUCGCUCUUUGUUUCAUUCUAAGGCUCAUUAAAAUCAAUGUACACAAAAGUCUAAACUAAUAAUUUAACAAAUCUAUUGAUAAAAAAGUUACUACUCAUCGUCAAUAGCCUUUAGAUACAAUCCCACGUGACCCUUUCGUAUCCUUUGGCUAUUGAGGACCAAAACUACUUGACUUUUACAUCGGUUUGCAUACAUACGUUUGACCAUUUUUGCAGUCGAUGGGUAUUUUCAAUUGAGCAAAAUCUUUAUACAUCUCAACACCAUGAUUGUAAUGAUGAAUUCCAUCUAAUUGUUACUUUGAAAAUAUGUCAAAAAAAGGGCUCUCUCUAGCAUUGUGCUAUUUCCGAUUAAUGUGUUCGAACAACCGAUAAAUUCAACAAAUAUUUACUUUUUUUAAUUUGAAAGAACUGUAUCAGGUAAAAAAAAUGAUGACAUGUCAGUAAAUAACAGCAUAAUAGUAACACAGAAACUUUUACAAAUUAUUGUAAAGCUUUUAAAAAUUUGUUCGUCUGCACUCAAACUUUUCUACCCUAUUGUAUUGUUUUGACAAUAUUUUAUUCAGUGAAAGAGAUUACUAAGAAAAGAAGCAGACGCCAUUGAAAAUAUGGCGAUUAAUUAAAAUAUAUACCUAAAUUGUGAACUUUCAGACCAAAAAAUAAAUAAUAAUAACUAAGGAUAAAUAUACCUUAUCACUGGAAAAAUAAAAACGGAUAACGAUUCAAAAUGCCAAUUUGAUAUGGAUAAUUUGUUCCUAUUCAGUGCAAAAACUAUGACGUAAUAGGGGUUGAAUUGUAACCUUUUUUCUCACUGAAAAAACUUCUAAGAACAAACACUUGUCCGAUUCCUAACAUAAGAAUAAAAAAUGUCUGUCCUAACGACCAGUAGAAAACGCGACUGUUCAAAUCAUCAGCGUAUAUUCGACCUUUGGCUUCUUUCAAUCUGAAGUGUGUCUGGCUAUCAACUACCUCUCUAAGUGAUGAGUGGAUAUCUUCAGAGGCUGUCUCCAUCUACAAUAUUAAAAAAUACGUAUCGUGAGUUGAUAAGGUCUAUUGAAGUUAGUAGAAACUGUUAUAUUUUAGGAUCCAUUCGUUGUAUGCCACUGAACCAAAAGGUCUGAAUGGACAUGAUAAGAUAUUUGUCCAAAAAGAUAACAUAUAUACGAACGCCAAUAAAGAAUUGCAAUUUCCAAUAUAAUUUUACCAGUCCACUAUUUUAAGUUUAUGAAAACCCUUAUAAGUAAUACAUACACCGUUUCGUCAUUUUCACAGAUACACCCCAUCCUUUUCCAUGGUCUA
Molecule: long non-coding RNA, 1888 nt
Filed under: Mytilus galloprovincialis (Mediterranean mussel)
Lineage: Eukaryota; Metazoa; Mollusca; Bivalvia; Mytilida; Mytilidae
Source: RNAcentral